This 426-nucleotide ribosomal RNA is filed under the name uncultured bacterium. Its description in RNAcentral is "bacterial SSU rRNA". It matches the Rfam family "Bacterial small subunit ribosomal RNA", at positions 354 to 796 of the family's 1533-position model. The record is from RNAcentral.
GUGGGGAAUAUUGGACAAUGGGGGAAACCCUGAUCCAGCGACGCCGCGUGAGUGAAGAAGUAUUUCGGUAUGUAAAGCUCUAUCAGCAGGGAAGAUGAUGACGGUACCUGACUAAGAAGCACCGGCUAAAUACGUGCCAGCAGCCGCGGUAAUACGUAUGGUGCAAGCGUUAUCCGGAUUUACUGGGUGUAAAGGGAGCGUAGGCGGCCGUGCAAGUCAGGUGUGAAAUCCCGGGGCUCAACCCCGGUACUGCACUUGAAACUGCGUGGCUGGAGUACAGGAGAGGCAGGCGGAAUUCCUAGUGUAGCGGUGAAAUGCGUAGAUAUUAGGAAGAACACCGGUGGCGAAGGCGGCCUGCUGGACUGGAUACUGACGCUGAGGCUCGAAAGCGUGGGGAGCAAACAGGAUUAGAUACCCUAGUAGUCC